This 1414-nucleotide ribosomal RNA is filed under the name uncultured bacterium. RNAcentral's name for it is "16S ribosomal RNA". It matches the Rfam family "Bacterial small subunit ribosomal RNA". The record is from RNAcentral.
ACGCUGGCGGCACGCCUAACACAUGCAAGUCGAACGAAGUAGCAAUACUUAGUGGCAGACGGGUGAGUAACAUGUGGGUAUCUGCCCUAUGGCCUGGAAUAACACGAGGAAACUUGUGCUAAUACCGGAUAAGUCUUUACGGAGAAAGCUUUAUGCACCAUUGGAUGAGCCCGCACUUGAUUAGUUUGUUGGUGGGGUAAUGGCCUACCAAGACUGUGAUCAAUAGCUGAUUUGAGAGGAUGAUCAGCCACAUUGGGACUGAGACACGGCCCAAACUCCUACGGGAGGCAGCAGUGGGGAAUCUUGCACAAUGGAGGAAACUCUGAUGCAGCGAUGCCGCGUGAGUGAAGAAGGCCCUUGGGUUGUAAAGCUCUUUCGUCGGGGAAGAAAAUGACUGUACCCGAAUAAGAAGGUCCGGCUAACUUCGUGCCAGCAGCCGCGGUAAUACGAAGGGACCUAGCGUAGUUCGGAAUUACUGGGCUUAAAGAGUUCGUAGGUGGUUGAAAAAGUUGGUGGUGAAAUCCCAGAGCUUAACUCUGGAACUGCCAUCAAAACUUUUCAGCUAGAGUAUGAUAGAGGAAAGCAGAAUUUCUAGUGUAGAGGUGAAAUUCGUAGAUAUUAGAAAGAAUACCAAUUGCGAAGGCAGCUUUCUGGAUCAUUACUGACACUGAGGAACGAAAGCAUGGGUAGCGAAGAGGAUUAGAUACCCUCGUAGUCCAUGCCGUAAACGAUGUGUGUUAGACGUUGGAAAUUUAUUUUCAGUGUCGCAGCGAAAGCGAUAAACACACCGCCUGGGGAGUACGACCGCAAGGUUAAAACUCAAAUGAAUUGACGGGGACCCGCACAAGUAGUGGAGCAUGUGGUUUAAUUCGAAGAUACGCGCAGAACCUUACCAACACUUGACAUGUUCGUCGCGACUCUAAGAGAUUAGAGUUUUCGGUUCGGCCGGACGAAACACAGGUGCUGCAUGGCUGUCGUCAGCUCGUGUCGUGAGAUGUUGGGUUAAGUCCCGCAACGAGCGCAACCCUCACUUUUAGUUGCCAUCAUUUAGUUGGGCACUCUGAAAGAACUGCCAGUGAUAAGCUGGAGGAAGGUGGGGAUGACGUCAAGUCCUCAUGGCCCUUACGUGUUGGGCUACACACGUGCUACAAUGGUAUCUACAACAGGAAGCAAGACGGCGACGUUAAGCAAAUCCUUAAAAGAUACCUCAGUUCGGAUUGCACUCUGCAACUCGAGUGCAUGAAGCUGGAAUUACUAGUAAUCGUGGAUCAGCGUGCCACGGUGAAUGCGUUCCCGGGUCUUGUACACACCGCCCGUCACACCAUGGGAGUUGGUUCUACCUUAAGGCAAGGUUUAAAACCCUUGACCACGGUAUAGUCAGCGACUGGGGUGAAGUCGUAACAAGGUAGCCGUA